RNAcentral lists this ribosomal RNA (2547 nucleotides) under Escherichia coli UMEA 3065-1. RNAcentral's name for it is "bacterial LSU rRNA". It matches the Rfam family "Bacterial large subunit ribosomal RNA", at positions 398 to 2925 of the family's 2925-position model. Lineage: Bacteria; Pseudomonadati; Pseudomonadota; Gammaproteobacteria; Enterobacterales; Enterobacteriaceae. The record is from RNAcentral.
UGUGAGCUCGAUGAGUAGGGCGGGACACGUGGUAUCCUGUCUGAAUAUGGGGGGACCAUCCUCCAAGGCUAAAUACUCCUGACUGACCGAUAGUGAACCAGUACCGUGAGGGAAAGGCGAAAAGAACCCCGGCGAGGGGAGUGAAAAAGAACCUGAAACCGUGUACGUACAAGCAGUGGGAGCACGCUUAGGCGUGUGACUGCGUACCUUUUGUAUAAUGGGUCAGCGACUUAUAUUCUGUAGCAAGGUUAACCGAAUAGGGGAGCCGAAGGGAAACCGAGUCUUAACUGGGCGUUAAGUUGCAGGGUAUAGACCCGAAACCCGGUGAUCUAGCCAUGGGCAGGUUGAAGGUUGGGUAACACUAACUGGAGGACCGAACCGACUAAUGUUGAAAAAUUAGCGGAUGACUUGUGGCUGGGGGUGAAAGGCCAAUCAAACCGGGAGAUAGCUGGUUCUCCCCGAAAGCUAUUUAGGUAGCGCCUCGUGAAUUCAUCUCCGGGGGUAGAGCACUGUUUCGGCAAGGGGGUCAUCCCGACUUACCAACCCGAUGCAAACUGCGAAUACCGGAGAAUGUUAUCACGGGAGACACACGGCGGGUGCUAACGUCCGUCGUGAAGAGGGAAACAACCCAGACCGCCAGCUAAGGUCCCAAAGUCAUGGUUAAGUGGGAAACGAUGUGGGAAGGCCCAGACAGCCAGGAUGUUGGCUUAGAAGCAGCCAUCAUUUAAAGAAAGCGUAAUAGCUCACUGGUCGAGUCGGCCUGCGCGGAAGAUGUAACGGGGCUAAACCAUGCACCGAAGCUGCGGCAGCGACGCUUAUGCGUUGUUGGGUAGGGGAGCGUUCUGUAAGCCUGCGAAGGUGUGCUGUGAGGCAUGCUGGAGGUAUCAGAAGUGCGAAUGCUGACAUAAGUAACGAUAAAGCGGGUGAAAAGCCCGCUCGCCGGAAGACCAAGGGUUCCUGUCCAACGUUAAUCGGGGCAGGGUGAGUCGACCCCUAAGGCGAGGCCGAAAGGCGUAGUCGAUGGGAAACAGGUUAAUAUUCCUGUACUUGGUGUUACUGCGAAGGGGGGACGGAGAAGGCUAUGUUGGCCGGGCGACGGUUGUCCCGGUUUAAGCGUGUAGGCUGGUUUUCCAGGCAAAUCCGGAAAAUCAAGGCUGAGGCGUGAUGACGAGGCACUACGGUGCUGAAGCAACAAAUGCCCUGCUUCCAGGAAAAGCCUCUAAGCAUCAGGUAACAUCAAAUCGUACCCCAAACCGACACAGGUGGUCAGGUAGAGAAUACCAAGGCGCUUGAGAGAACUCGGGUGAAGGAACUAGGCAAAAUGGUGCCGUAACUUCGGGAGAAGGCACGCUGAUAUGUAGGUGAAGUCCCUUGCGGAUGGAGCUGAAAUCAGUCGAAGAUACCAGCUGGCUGCAACUGUUUAUUAAAAACACAGCACUGUGCAAACACGAAAGUGGACGUAUACGGUGUGACGCCUGCCCGGUGCCGGAAGGUUAAUUGAUGGGGUUAGCGCAAGCGAAGCUCUUGAUCGAAGCCCCGGUAAACGGCGGCCGUAACUAUAACGGUCCUAAGGUAGCGAAAUUCCUUGUCGGGUAAGUUCCGACCUGCACGAAUGGCGUAAUGAUGGCCAGGCUGUCUCCACCCGAGACUCAGUGAAAUUGAACUCGCUGUGAAGAUGCAGUGUACCCGCGGCAAGACGGAAAGACCCCGUGAACCUUUACUAUAGCUUGACACUGAACAUUGAGCCUUGAUGUGUAGGAUAGGUGGGAGGCUUUGAAGUGUGGACGCCAGUCUGCAUGGAGCCGACCUUGAAAUACCACCCUUUAAUGUUUGAUGUUCUAACGUUGACCCGUAAUCCGGGUUGCGGACAGUGUCUGGUGGGUAGUUUGACUGGGGCGGUCUCCUCCUAAAGAGUAACGGAGGAGCACGAAGGUUGGCUAAUCCUGGUCGGACAUCAGGAGGUUAGUGCAAUGGCAUAAGCCAGCUUGACUGCGAGCGUGACGGCGCGAGCAGGUGCGAAAGCAGGUCAUAGUGAUCCGGUGGUUCUGAAUGGAAGGGCCAUCGCUCAACGGAUAAAAGGUACUCCGGGGAUAACAGGCUGAUACCGCCCAAGAGUUCAUAUCGACGGCGGUGUUUGGCACCUCGAUGUCGGCUCAUCACAUCCUGGGGCUGAAGUAGGUCCCAAGGGUAUGGCUGUUCGCCAUUUAAAGUGGUACGCGAGCUGGGUUUAGAACGUCGUGAGACAGUUCGGUCCCUAUCUGCCGUGGGCGCUGGAGAACUGAGGGGGGCUGCUCCUAGUACGAGAGGACCGGAGUGGACGCAUCACUGGUGUUCGGGUUGUCAUGCCAAUGGCACUGCCCGGUAGCUAAAUGCGGAAGAGAUAAGUGCUGAAAGCAUCUAAGCACGAAACUUGCCCCGAGAUGAGUUCUCCCUGACUCCUUGAGAGUCCUGAAGGAACGUUGAAGACGACGACGUUGAUAGGCCGGGUGUGUAAGCGCAGCGAUGCGUUGAGCUAACCGGUACUAAUGAACCGUGAGGCUUAACCUU